ACUCAAAUGAAUUGACGGGGGCCCGCACAAGCAGCGGAGCAUGUGGUUUAAUUCGACGCAACGCGAAGAACCUUACCUGGGCUUGACAUCGCCGUGACAGCCGUGGAAACACGGUCUCCCUUCGGGGCACGGUGACAGGUGGUGCAUGGCUGUCGUCAGCUCGUGUCGUGAGAUGUUGGGUUAAGUCCCGCAACGAGCGCAACCCUCGUCGCAUGUUGCCAGCGGUUCGGCCGGGGACUCAUGCGAGACUGCCGGUGACAAACCGGAGGAAGGUGGGGAUGACGUCAAGUCAUCAUGCCCCUUAUGUUCAGGGCUACACACGUGCUACAUUGGCCGGUACAAAGGGUUGCGAUACCGUGAGGUGGAGCCAAUCCCAAAAAGCCGGUCUCGGUUCGGAUUGGAGGCUGAAACUCGCCUCCAUGAAGGCGGAGUUGCUAGUAAUCGUGGAUCAGCAAUGCCACGGUGAAUACGUUCCCGGGCCUUGUACACACCGCCCGU
RNAcentral lists this ribosomal RNA (498 nucleotides) under uncultured bacterium. RNAcentral's name for it is "partial 16S ribosomal RNA". It matches the Rfam family "Bacterial small subunit ribosomal RNA", at positions 899 to 1397 of the family's 1533-position model. The record is from RNAcentral.